GUCAGGCUCAGUGGCCUAUGCUUGUAGUCCCAGCUACACAGGAGGCUGAGAUGGGAGGAUCGCUUGAGCCCAGGAGUUCUGGGCUGUAGUGCGCUAUGCUGAUCGGGUGUCCGCACUAAGUUCGGCAUCAGUAUGGUGACAUCCCAGGAGUGGGGGACCACCAUGUUGCCUAAAGAGGGGUGAACUGGCCCAGGUCAGAAAUGGAGCAGGUCAAAAUUCUCAUGCUGAUCAGUAGUGGGAUCGUGCCUGUGAAUAGCCACUGCACUCCAGCCUGGGCAACAUAGCGAGACCCCGUCUCU
This 299-nucleotide signal recognition particle RNA is filed under the name Aotus nancymaae (Ma's night monkey). RNAcentral describes it as "Metazoan signal recognition particle RNA (ENSANAG00000007085.1)". It matches the Rfam family "Metazoan signal recognition particle RNA". From Rfam's summary of the family: The signal recognition particle (SRP) is a universally conserved ribonucleoprotein. It is involved in the co-translational targeting of proteins to membranes. Lineage: Eukaryota; Metazoa; Chordata; Mammalia; Primates; Aotidae. The record is from RNAcentral.